AGACUUAUUACGAUAUCACCAAGUUAUGAUAAUUGAAUUUCUAACUGAAAGAGAUUUAUUUAUAUCUUGUUUUUUAGACUUAUUACGAUAUCACCAAGUUAUGAUAAUUGAAUUUCUAACUGAAAGAGGGUUUAUAUUCGAUAUACAGCUAUGCAGUAAGUAUGCUGAAGGUAAGAGGAGGGAGUAACGUUCAAGUACUUAUGUGUUGAAUGGCUUCCCUGUGAACAGGCAUUUUCCAUUUUCCAUUACAAAAGCCAGCUGGCAACUAUUGCUCUGGCUGCAGAUGAGAAUCCAUUUGGCGUUGUACUUGGUGGAAUCGUGUCAAUUCACUAUCUUCAAAGAUUGUUCUGCAUUUUCAUCUAUAGCCCCUUUGUCGGAUGCCUCCUUCCAUAUGCUCCGCGUGAAGAGCGCAAACUAUUGCUAAACUUACCUUAAUUCUUUUCUUGUUCAAUUUACAAAUUCAGUUAGUUAGAAGAAACACCUUAUUCAUAUAAUAUUCUGAUACGAGUACUGCUUCAAUUCAACAUUUUUCUUUCAUAAUUAAUGCCUCAUGGAAACGGAAACUAAUUAUAUGCUUAAAAAUACGGUAUAAUUUGAUUGAUAUGGUCCACUGAUGGGUUUCAAAGACCUGCUCUAUUUAGUUGUAUGCUAUCUUAUAAAUGUUAUCUUAGCGGUGUUGCCGAUUCUAUGUUUUCUUAAGCUCUGCUUUAUCUUUUAAGAGCAAGCAGAUGCUUUGACUAUAUAUUAGGGCAGUAUAGCUAAUCAACCUUAAUAUUGAUACAACAGUCUCUAUGACUAUCUAAAUGACAGUAGUUAGCUGAAAUGUAAAAUAUGUAUUCUGCGGUCCAAUAGCAUUCCUCAACUCCAUAACAUGAGGUUUGUUUCUGGUUUCAGAGGACAAGCUCUGUGUACCAUUGCUGUAGUCAUGGGAGGAAAAAGCUUGGCAAAACAGAUAUCUGAGAAACUGGUUGCACUAUCUGGUGGAGUUCUUUUCAUUGUUUUUAGUAUUAAAUCUUUCUUCCUGACAAAAAAAAGAAAGUAUUGAAUCUUUCUUGUCUACGGUAGAGUAGAGUUGUGAGGUGUAAUACAACUGAGACGAUCUACGUAUUCAAGUUCAUAUAUAUGUUACGAUGAGUACCAGGACUAGCAACAUAGUCAUUGGCAGGAUAGCACAUUUGCUGAUUCUGGCUGCAAAGAAUAGUGCCAUAGAGCUAUUUUCUUCAAUUUUUCUCCUGUAUCCGUAACCAUCAUUACGUGGUAGUCCGAGUCCAUUUCAAACUACAGAUGGACCGUUGUAUGGCAUUACCAAUGAUCAGUAGGAUCAAAGCAAGACCAGUUACAUUGUUAGAACUUCUAACUUAGAAAACUGGAAAUUGAUUUGACUCGUUAUUUUGUAUGUUCCUGAUACGG
Long non-coding RNA from Daucus carota subsp. sativus, 1410 nucleotides. RefSeq lists it as uncharacterized. The record is from RefSeq and is a predicted model, not a curated record. Lineage: Eukaryota; Viridiplantae; Streptophyta; Magnoliopsida; Apiales; Apiaceae. The transcript has 3 exons.